UCGAUACCUGCAAAGCAAACCCGCGAACACGUUCUCAACACUCUUGGGCUCGCGCCGUUGGAUGCCUUGGUGCAUCCCCCGUCGCGCUGCCUUCCCGACGACGCACCCUCGGUGGGUCGUUCGGGUUUAACAAACAUUUCGGCGCGGCAUGCGCCAAGGAAAACUGUCACGAGAAUGCUUGCUCUCGCGAGGCAUCGUUUGCGGUGCAUUGCGGGCUGCUUGUGCCUCUUGAAUCACUAAAUGACUCUCGGCAACGGAUAUCUCGGCUCUCGCAUCGAUGAAGAACGUAGCGAAAUGCGAUACUUGGUGUGAAUUGCAGAAUCCCGUGAACCAUCGAGUUUUUGAACGCAAGUUGCGCCCGAAGCCAUUAGGUCGAGGGCACGCCUGCCUGGGCGUCACGCAUCGCGUCGCCCCCUCCCCCAAUUUCCCUUGCGAAGGCGGGUGGAUCCGAGGGGACGGACAUUGGCCUCCCGUGCUCUUACUGUGCGGCUGGCUUAAAUGUGAUUCCUCGUCGACGGAUGUCACGACUUGUGGUGGUUGAAUCAAUCGCGCGAUGUCGUGCGUGACCCCGUUCGUUCGCGGACAUCAUUACUGACCCGACGGCGCCAUGCGCUUUCGAACGCGACCCCAGGUCAGGCGGGAUCACCCGCUGAAUUUAAGCAUAUCAAUAAGCGGANGAAAAGAAACGUCGU
Molecule: ribosomal RNA, 692 nt
Filed under: Columnea flexiflora
Lineage: Eukaryota; Viridiplantae; Streptophyta; Magnoliopsida; Lamiales; Gesneriaceae
Description: eukaryotic LSU rRNA
Rfam family: 5.8S ribosomal RNA (bases 243-398)
Source: RNAcentral